GCAAGUCGAGCGGAUUGAUGGGAGCUUGCUCCCAUCAGUCAGCGGCGGACGGGUGAGUAACACGUGGGUAACCUGCCUGUAAGACUGGGAUAACUCCGGGAAACCGGGGCUAAUACCGGAUAACUCAUUUCCUCGCAUGAGGAAAUGUUGAAAGGUGGCUUUUAGCUAUCACUUACAGAUGGACCCGCGGCGCAUUAGCUAGUUGGUGAGGUAACGGCUCACCAAGGCGACGAUGCGUAGCCGACCUGAGAGGGUGAUCGGCCACACUGGGACUGAGACACGGCCCAGACUCCUACGGGAGGCAGCAGUAGGGAAUCUUCCGCAAUGGACGAAAGUCUGACGGAGCAACGCCGCGUGAGUGAUGAAGGUUUUCGGAUCGUAAAACUCUGUUGUUAGGGAAGAACAAGUACCGUUCGAAUAGGGCGGUACCUUGACGGUACCUAACCAGAAAGCCACGGCUAACUACGUGCCAGCAGCCGCGGUAAUACGUAGGUGGCAAGCGUUGUCCGGAAUUAUUGGGCGUAAAGCGCGCGCAGGUGGUUUCUUAAGUCUGAUGUGAAAGCCCACGGCUCAACCGUGGAGGGUCAUUGGAAACUGGGGAACUUGAGUGCAGAAGAGGAAAGUGGAAUUCCAAGUGUAGCGGUGAAAUGCGUAGAUAUUUGGAGGAACACCAGUGGCGAAGGCGACUUUCUGGUCUGUAACUGACACUGAGGC
Molecule: ribosomal RNA, 714 nt
Filed under: Bacillus sp. PSu2_41
Lineage: Bacteria; Bacillati; Bacillota; Bacilli; Caryophanales; Bacillaceae
Description: bacterial SSU rRNA
Rfam family: Bacterial small subunit ribosomal RNA
Source: RNAcentral